CCUACGGGUGGCAGCAGUGAGGAAUAUUGGUCAAUGGACGAGCGUCUGAACCAGCCAAGUAGCGUGAAGGAUGACUGCCCUAUGGGUUGUAAACUUCUUUUAUAAAGGAAUAAAACGAGCCACGUGUGCCUUUUUUCAUGUACUUUAUGAAUAAGGAUCGGCUAACUCCGUGCCAGCAGCCGCGGUAAUACGGAGGAUCCGAGCGUUAUCCGGAUUUAUUGGGUUUAAAGGGAGCGUAGAUGGGUUGUAAAGUCAGUGGUGAAAGUUUGCGGCUCAACCGUAAAAUUGCAAUUGAUACUGGCAGUCGUGAGUACAGUUGAGGUAGGCGGAAGGCGUGGUGUAGCGGUGAAAUGCUUAGAUAUCACGAAGAACCCCGAUUGCGAAGGCAGCUUACUAAACUGUGACUGACAUUGAUGCUCGAAAGUGUGGGUAUCAAACAGGAUUAGAUACCCGUGUAGUC
This 460-nucleotide ribosomal RNA is filed under the name uncultured bacterium. Its description in RNAcentral is "partial 16S ribosomal RNA". It matches the Rfam family "Bacterial small subunit ribosomal RNA", at positions 338 to 795 of the family's 1533-position model. The record is from RNAcentral.